GAUGAACGCUAGCGGCAGGCCUAACACAUGCAAGUCGAACGGUAACAGGGAAAAGCUUGCUUUUCCGCUGACGAGUGGCGCACGGGUGCGCAACGCGUAUAGAACCUACCCUGUACAGGGGGAUAGCCCGGAGAAAUCCGGAUUAAUACCCCGUGGUAAUUAGAAUUGGCAUCGAUUUUAAUUUAAAGCUUCGGCGGUACGGGAUGGCUAUGCGUCCUAUUAGCUAGAUGGUAAGGUAACGGCUUACCAUGGCUAUGAUAGGUA
Molecule: ribosomal RNA, 264 nt
Filed under: uncultured bacterium
Lineage: Bacteria
Description: partial 16S ribosomal RNA
Rfam family: Bacterial small subunit ribosomal RNA
Source: RNAcentral